This is a long non-coding RNA of Mercenaria mercenaria, 3821 nucleotides long. RefSeq lists it as uncharacterized. NCBI's taxonomy places the organism in Eukaryota, Metazoa, Mollusca, Bivalvia, Venerida, Veneridae. The transcript is spliced from 3 exons. The record is from RefSeq and is a predicted model, not a curated record.
ACCCAUAAAGUACUUAAAAGUUUGUGUCGCAUAUAUCUUAAAAAUAUGUAACCUGUAGUUGAAAUUAUAAUUCAGAAUGUGAAUUUUUGUGCCUAAGUUAUUUUUUUUUGCUGCCUGAAGUGGGAAGCAUAAUAUUGUUGUUACCUUGCCCAUCCAUCUGUCUGUUCAUCACUCUUCUUGUCCAGAUGAUAACUCAGAAAGUAUUGAAGGUACCAAGUUGUAACUUUACACAAUGACAGAGCUCUUUGAGAGAAAGUGCUGUGGUAAGCAACCAUAACUCUAAAUGGUCCCAUUUUUGAAUUAUCUCCCUUUUUUGAAAACCUUGUCCAGGGUAUAACUCGAACAUUUCUUUCUUGAUAGUGUAUAUAUUUACUUUACAUUCAUUCGGUGACCCUAAUCAAAGUCUGACAAGAAUAUUGUUGUGCUACUUUCAGAUAUUUAUAUAUUACAUUACCCACAACUUCUUGUCUCCUAAAUUCAUCAUGGGUCAAUAGAUAAUAGGUAAGGGUAGAUUUCUCGGAAGCACAGAGCACCACAAACACAGCCAAAGAGCCACGCAUUUGCAAAGUAGGCCCACAGCAGAAAGAAGCUGUAACAGAAAACAGGUUGCUUCAAAAAUCCAACAAGUACAUUUUACUUUUAUGCAAAAUAAAGAAGGGGGGGGGGGGGGGGAAGGGGCAGGUGUUAGAAAGUGGAGGAGGCUACUGCUACGUUCUGCAAUAAAUCAGUUCAUGUUCAAAUAAAAUACAUGUUCUUCAUUUGUUAUAUUCCCACCUCACAGGUACAUUUCUCCUCAACACAAUUUCCAUGACUGAAAAGCCUUAGAAUCAUAAAACAUCAGGGGAUCGUUAUAUAGCAUAUGAAGUUGUGCAUCUGAGUGUUCUAUUUGGGAUUUCACUUAGCUAGACCAGAGUUAUGGUCCUUGACUUUGUGAAAAAUACACAUAAAAGUUUGUGUUGCAUAUAUCUUAAAAGUAUUUCACCUUGGUUCAUGAAACCAUGAAUAGUAACAGGAAGUUGGGACACCAGUUUCCAAUGGACACACAAGUUUCCAAACAGAUAAUUAUUUGACUGUAUGAGGAAAGGAAGAACUCUUUCAUAUAAGGAAGAUGUUUUUUACCUGAUGGGAAGUACUCUUUCAUGUAAGGAAGAUGUUUGUUACCUGAUGGGAAGUACUCUUUCAUGUAAGGAAGAUGUUUGUUACCUGAUGGGAAGUACUCUUUCAUGUAAGGAAGAUGUUUGUUACCUGAUGGGAAGUACUCUUUCAUGUAAGGAAGAUGUUUGUUACCUGAUAGAAAGUACUCUUUCAUGUAAGGAAGAUGUUUGUUACCUGAUAGAAAGUACUCUUUCAUAUAAGGAAGAUGUUUGUUACCAGACGGGAGGUGCUCUUUCAGCUCUGGCAGCCCUAAAAUCAGUCAAGCAAUUCCAUUUCAACAACUGUGAGAGAGGAGCUUAGGAGAAUGCUACAGACCAACUUCAGUGACAUUCUGUCAAGCAAUAAAGAAGUUGUUUAAUGAUAUUAUACUUUUAGCUCUUGUGGACCCUAAAGUCAGUCAAGAGGAACCGUUUGAACAAAUUGAGAGUGUACCAUACAAGGAUGCUACAGACCAAUUUCAGCGAUAAUCCAUCAAGUGUUUCAUGAGAUGUUGUUUAAAGGUUGUUUUUUUUUUUUAGCUCUGGCAGCCCCUAAACUCAGUCAAGCAUCUGAACAGUAAACACAAUGUCAUGUUCCCCCAAUUUUCAGUCCUGUGAUCACUUUGACCUUGACCUUUGACCUACUAACUCCCAAAACAGUAGGGUUCAUCAAUUUCAUAAGCCUAAUCAUGCUAUCAAGUUUGAAGAUACUGAGUCAGGUGGUUCUCAAGCUAGUGGAAAUGAUUUUCAAGGUUAAGGCCCGUAUGACCUCAACUGUUGACUUAUUGACCCUAAAAUAACAGGAGUCUUCUAUUUCAUUAAGCCCUAUCAUGCUAUCAAGUUUGAAGUUUCUUGGUCAAGUGUUUCUUAAAUUACAGAAAUAGUUUUAAUGUUGAGGUUCCUGUGACCUUGACCUUUGAUCAACUGACCUCAAAAUCAAUGGGGGUUAUCUACUUCAUUAGCCCAAUCAUGCUAUCAAGUGGUUAACUGAGUGGAAACUGUUUUCAAGUUUCAGGUCCCUGUGAUCUUGACCUUUGACUUACUGACCCGAAAAAACAACAGGGGUUCUCUACUUUAUAAGCCCAAUAAUGCUAUCAAGUUUGAAGGUUCUGGGUCAAGUUAGCAAACCGUUUUGAACGUUCAGGUUCCUGUGACCUUGACCUCUGACCUAAAAAACAAUAGGGAUCAUUUACUUCAUUAGCCCAAUCAUGCUUUUAUGUUUGAAGGUUCUAGGUAGAGUGGUUCUCAAGUUAUAAAGCAGAAACUUUUUUGAAGGUUCAGGCCCCUGUGACAUUGGCUUAGUGACCCCAAGAACAAGAUGAUCAUCUACUUUAUAAGCCCAAUCAUGGUACCAAGUUUGAAGGUUCUGGGUCAAGUGCUUCUACAGUUAUUGGGCGGAAACAGUUUUGAAGGUUCAGGCCCCUGUGACCUUGACCUUUGACCUAAAGAACAGGGGUCAUUUACUUCAUUAUCCCAACCAUGCUUUUAUGUUCAAAGGUUCUAGGUAGAGUGGUUCUCAAGUUACUGCGUGGAUCUUUUUUUGAAGGUUCAGGCCCCUGUGACAUUGACUUAUCGACCCCAAGAACAAGAUUAUCAUCUACUUUAUUAGCCCAAUCAUGGUACCAAGUUUGAAGGUGCUUCUCCAGUUAUUGGGCAGAAACUGUUUUGAAGGUUUAGGCCCGUGACUGCGACCUUUGACCUACUGAUCCAAAAAACUAUCAGGAUCAUAUACUUCAAGUGCCCAAUCAUGGUACGAAGUUUGAUGGUUUCGAGUCAAGUGGCUCUCAAGUUAUUUAGUGGCAACUGUUAGCUCUACCAACAGAGGGACAGAUGGACUGAAUGACAGGUGCAAAGAAAUAUACCCUUCACUUCUCCAAAUGGGGCCAUAAAUGUAGGAGACGAUUUUAUAGACAAAUGCUACAGUCAAAGUUGAGAGAAAUUCCAUCAAGAAGUUCAUGAGAAGUUUUUUAAUGGUUUUUCAAUUUUAGUUUUGGCAGCCCCCGAUUUCAGUCAAGUGGAACAAUUUGAUAAUUUAGAAAGGACCUUACAUGAAUGCUACAAACAAAGUUUAGCUCUACUGACAGAGGGGCGGACUGACCGACCGACAGGUGCAAAGAAAUAUACCCUUCAUCAAGUGGUUCAUGAGAAAAAGCUGUUUAAAGAUUUUUUUUUAUUUUUAGCUCUGGCCGCCCCAGCUACAGACCAAGUUUACCGAUAUUCCAUCAAACAGUUCAUGUGUUUUUUCUACUUUUAGCUCUGGCAGCCCAUAAAUUCAGUUUGAAAAAAUUAUGAAAGAAUCUUACAAGGGUGGUACAGACCAAGUUUGGUGAUGAUCCAUUCUGCAGUUCAUGAGAAGUUGUUUAAAAGUGAAAAGCUAAUGCCAGACAACAAAUGAAGGAUACAGGCCUGAACCGUUCAGAAGAGCUAAAAAUAAUUGUGAUGAAGCAUUGUGUUGAUCAAACUUCCAUUCCAGAGAUCCCAUACAAUAGUUUUCGUAUCAAAAGCAGUGUAAUAGAUGUAAAGAAAAGAUAUAUCAUUGAGAUAUUUUAUUCAUAAAAGAAAAAAAUCAUGUUAACAAUCUAUGUAAUAUAUGAUUCAAACAACAGUCAAUAUUCAACGUUAAUAUUAAAUAUUAACUUUCACUACAUAAUUAAAAAACUACAGUCUCAAUCCAAAUAAAAACAGAUU